AAUGAACGUUGGCGGCGUGGAUUAGGCAUGCAAGUCGCGCGACAAGGAACCUUCGGGUUCUGGAGGAGCGGCAAACGGGGUAGUAAGGCAUCGGAACGUACCCUCUUGUUGGGAAUAGCCGCGGGAAACUGCGAGUAAUGCCCAAUAAUCCCUACGGGGCAAAGGUCCGCCGCAGGAGGAGCGGCCGAUGUGAUACCAGCUAGUUGGUGAGGUAAUGGCUCACCAAGGCUUAGACGUCUAGGGGGUGUGAGAGCAUGGCCCCCACCACUGGGACGUGAGAUACUGCCCACGACACCUACCGGGU
RNAcentral lists this ribosomal RNA (304 nucleotides) under uncultured bacterium. RNAcentral's name for it is "bacterial SSU rRNA". It matches the Rfam family "Bacterial small subunit ribosomal RNA", at positions 29 to 346 of the family's 1533-position model. The record is from RNAcentral.